CACGUAGGGGGCGAGCGUUGUCCGGAUUUAUUGGGCGUAAAGAGCUCGUAGGCGGUUCAGUAAGUCAGGUGUGAAACCUCCAGGCUCAACCUGGAGACGCCACCUGAUACUGCUGUGACUGGAGUCCGGUAGAGGAGCGUGGGAUUUCUGGUGUAGCGGUGAAAUGCGCAGAUAUCAGAAGGAACACCAACGGCGAAGGCAGCGCUCUGGGCCGGUACUGACGCUGAGGAGAGAAAGCGUGGGUAGCAAACAGG
Molecule: ribosomal RNA, 254 nt
Filed under: uncultured bacterium
Lineage: Bacteria
Description: partial 16S ribosomal RNA
Rfam family: Bacterial small subunit ribosomal RNA
Source: RNAcentral